RNAcentral lists this long non-coding RNA (901 nucleotides) under Malus domestica (apple). RNAcentral's name for it is "long non-coding RNA (MDOM_LNC015576)". Lineage: Eukaryota; Viridiplantae; Streptophyta; Magnoliopsida; Rosales; Rosaceae. The record is from RNAcentral.
UAUAUAUAUAUACAUAUGUAUAUGUAUACGAUAGGAAGGAAAAGACUCACUCACCUGGAGUUUACGCUACAACUUCCUAGCACACACAAAGAGGCAUCAUGAACGAUCGGCGCCUAGAACAAUUAUCAAAUCACAUCUCAGAAUUCUUAUCGAUAGAAUACAUAAUUUACAUAAAACACACCCCUAAGAUUCGAUCCGGAAAAUCCACAUUAUGGAUUUCUGAUCCAUUACUUCUAAAGAUCCACAUUAUGCUUCUCGAACAACAUCCUAAAGUUCCAUUACGAUCCAACGGUCGGAUCUCGGCCAAUUGCCAAAACCAAGUGAUGGUUAACAUUUUAUUUUAUGAACUUACAAAUUCAAUUCGGGGAGAUCCGUAGGUCAGAUUCCCUAUCCGUAAGUUUCUAUGGUCCUUAAAUAUUAUGUACUAUAACAUAUUAAAGUUUGGUGACGAUCCAACGGUCAGAUCGUCGAUUUACAUUUUUACCAAGUAACAUAUCGUAAGGAAUUUAGUUUCAAACGAUCAACCUACGUUAUAAAAUUACCAAAACUGAACUCAAGGUAUCUAAUUUAGCCUAAGAAUGACAUUGAUGGCCUCUUGGCCACGCGCAGCCGCAUGUGCUGCCGUGGGUGGCGGUCGGCCGCCCCGACUCGUCGAAAAAUCCAACUAUUUCAAAAAAUUACCAAAAAUUAUAGGAAUGAAGAUCUCAAUGAGUAGAGUAACUUUUAUACCUAUGAUCAAGGCCAAAUAGGCUGGGAAGAGCUUCCAUUUCAUUAAAACAUGUCGAAAACCCUAUAUUUAGGUGUGCUCGAUUCGACCUCCAAACUUGCUCCAACGCCUCCACCACUGCCUGGGCUUUGUUCCUGGGUUCUAGGGGAGCCUAAUGGUGGUGGAGAUUGAUGU